RNAcentral lists this ribosomal RNA (495 nucleotides) under uncultured bacterium. Its description in RNAcentral is "partial 16S ribosomal RNA". It matches the Rfam family "Bacterial small subunit ribosomal RNA", at positions 28 to 507 of the family's 1533-position model. The record is from RNAcentral.
GACGAACGCUGGCGGCGUGCCUAAUACAUGCAAGUAGAACGCUGAAGGAGGAGCUUGCUUCUCUGGAUGAGUUGCGAACGGGUGAGUAACGCGUAGGUAACCUGCCUGGUAGCGGGGGAUAACUAUUGGAAACGAUAGCUAAUACCGCAUAAUAGUAGAUGUUGCAUGACAUUUGCUUAAAAGGUGCAAUUGCAUCACUACCAGAUGGACCUGCGUUGUAUUAGCUAGUUGGUGGGGUAACGGCUCACCAAGGCGACGAUACAUAGCCGACCUGAGAGGGUGAUCGGCAACACUGGGACUGAGACACGGCCCAGACUCCUACGGGAGGCAGCAGUAGGGAAUCUUCGGCAAUGGACGGAAGUCUGACCGAGCAACGCCGCGUGAGUGAAGAAGGUUUUCGGAUCGUAAAGCUCUGUUGUAAGAGAAGAACGAGUGUGAGAGUGGAAAGUUCACACUGUGACGGUAUCUUACCAGAAAGGGACGGCUAACUACGUG